GGCUUUAUAUUCAUUAUAUAAUGAUUUUAAAUUGCAAAUUUAAAGGAGUAAUAAGUUAAUUACUAAAGCUU
RNAcentral lists this transfer RNA (71 nucleotides) under Thaumalea sp. ZK-2019. Its description in RNAcentral is "tRNA-Cys". Lineage: Eukaryota; Metazoa; Arthropoda; Insecta; Diptera; Thaumaleidae. The record is from RNAcentral.